Molecule: ribosomal RNA, 253 nt
Filed under: uncultured bacterium
Lineage: Bacteria
Description: partial 16S ribosomal RNA
Rfam family: Bacterial small subunit ribosomal RNA
Source: RNAcentral
UACGUAGGGUGCGAGCGUUAAUCGGAAUUACUGGGCGUAAAGCGUGCGCAGGCGGUUCGCUAAGACCGAUGUGAAAUCCCCGGGCUCAACCCCGGAACUGCAUUGGAUACUGCUCUGCUUGAGUACUGGAGAGGAGACUGGAAUUUACGGUGUAGCAGUGAAAUGCGUAGAUAUCGUAAGGAAGACCAGUGGCGAAGGCGAGUCUCUGGACAGUUACUGACGCUGAGGCACGAAGGCUAGGGGAGCAAACGGG